UACGGGGGGGGCAAGCGUUGUUCGGAAUUACUGGGCGUAAAGGGCUCGUAGGCGGCCAACUAAGUCAGACGUGAAAUCCCCAGGCUUAACCUGGGAACUGCGUCUGAUACUGGUUGGCUUGAAUUCGGGAGAGGGAUGCAGAAUUCCAGGUGUAGCGGUGAAAUGCGUAGAUAUCUGGAGGAAUACCGGUGGCGAAGGCGGCAUCCUGGACCGAGAUUGACACUGAGGAGCGAAAGCCAGGGGAGCAAACGGG
RNAcentral lists this ribosomal RNA (253 nucleotides) under uncultured bacterium. RNAcentral describes it as "partial 16S ribosomal RNA". It matches the Rfam family "Bacterial small subunit ribosomal RNA", at positions 524 to 776 of the family's 1533-position model. The record is from RNAcentral.